UGUAAAAUGCAGAUAAUAUAGCCCUGCGAAGUUUGCCGUUUUUCAGUCAUUUUGUAAAACGGCAAACUUCGCAUAUAUUAUCUGCAUUUUACA
Paramuricea clavata is the source of this 93-nucleotide non-coding RNA. The record is from the annotation of a GenBank genome assembly. Lineage: Eukaryota; Metazoa; Cnidaria; Anthozoa; Malacalcyonacea; Plexauridae.